CAGAAAAUUUUUAUUUAUUUACAAUAAAUUCUUAGUUAUUAAUUUAACUUUUUCUGA
This 57-nucleotide transfer RNA is filed under the name Augilodes binghami. RNAcentral's name for it is "tRNA-Val". The record is from RNAcentral. Lineage: Eukaryota; Metazoa; Arthropoda; Insecta; Hemiptera; Caliscelidae.